AGUGAACGCUGGCGGUAGGCCUAACACAUGCAAGUCGAACGGCAGCACAGUAAGAGCUUGCUCUUACGGGUGGCGAGUGGCGGACGGGUGAGGAAUACAUCGGAAUCUACUUUUUCGUGGGGGAUAACGUAGGGAAACUUACGCUAAUACCGCAUACGACCUACGGGUGAAAGCAGGGGAUCUUCGGACCUUGCGCGAUUGAAUGAGCCGAUGUCGGAUUAGCUAGUUGGCGGGGUAAAGGCCCACCAAGGCGACGAUCCGUAGCUGGUCUGAGAGGAUGAUCAGCCACACUGGAACUGGGACACGGUCCAGACUCCUACGGGAGGCAGCAGUGGGGAAUAGUGGACAAUGGGCGCAAGCCUGAUCCAGCCAUACCGCGUGGGUGACGAAGGCGUUCGGGUUGUAAAGCCCUUUUGUUGGGAAAGAAAAGCAGCAGGUUAAUACCCCGCUGUUCUGACGGUACCCAAAGAAUAAGCACCGGCUAACUUCGUG
RNAcentral lists this ribosomal RNA (492 nucleotides) under uncultured bacterium. RNAcentral's name for it is "partial 16S ribosomal RNA". It matches the Rfam family "Bacterial small subunit ribosomal RNA", at positions 29 to 507 of the family's 1533-position model. The record is from RNAcentral.